AUGUGAUGGUAGAAACCUUCAGGAACCUGGCCUCUGUUGAGGAAGAUCAGACCAUUGAAGAGGUUUACAGAAAUUCCAGAAGAAAUCUAAGAAGUCAAGUGGUAGGGGGAUUCCGUGAACACAAAGAAGAUAUUCA
Non-coding RNA from Castor canadensis (American beaver), 136 nucleotides. The record is from RefSeq and is a predicted model, not a curated record. Lineage: Eukaryota; Metazoa; Chordata; Mammalia; Rodentia; Castoridae.